RNAcentral lists this ribosomal RNA (227 nucleotides) under uncultured bacterium. RNAcentral describes it as "partial 16S ribosomal RNA". It matches the Rfam family "Bacterial small subunit ribosomal RNA", at positions 524 to 750 of the family's 1533-position model. The record is from RNAcentral.
UACGGAGGGUGCGAGCGUUGUCCGGAAUCACUGGGCGUAAAGGGCGCGUAGGUGGCGCGGCAAGUCAACGGUGAAAGCUCGACGCUCAACGUCGAGUCGGCCGUCGAUACUGCUGGGCUUGAGCACUGUAGAGGCAGAUGGAAUUCCGGGUGUAGCGGUGGAAUGCGUAGAGAUCCGGAAGAACACCGGUGGCGAAGGCGGUCUGCUGGGCAGUAGCUGACACUGAG